Molecule: ribosomal RNA, 500 nt
Filed under: uncultured bacterium
Lineage: Bacteria
Description: bacterial SSU rRNA
Rfam family: Bacterial small subunit ribosomal RNA
Source: RNAcentral
GGGGAAGGGUCGCUUGCUACCUGACCUAGCGGCGGACGGGUGAGUAAUGCUUAGGAAUCUGCCUAUUAGUGGGGGACAACAUUCCGAAAGGAAUGCUAAUACCGCAUACGCCCUACGGGGGAAAGCAGGGGAUCUUCGGACCUUGCGCUAAUAGAUGAGCCUAAGUCAGAUUAGCUAGUUGGUGGGGUAAAGGCCUACCAAGGCGACGAUCUGUAGCGGGUCUGAGAGGAUGAUCCGCCACACUUGGGACUGAGACACGGCCCAGACUCCUACGGGAGGCAGCAGUGGGGAAUAUUGGACAAUGGGCGAAAGCCUGAUCCAGCCAUGCCGCGUGUGUGAAGAAGGCCUUUUGGUUGUAAAGCACUUUAAGCGAGGAGGAGGCUACUGAAAUAAUCCUUUUGAUAGGGGACCUUACUCCCAAAAAAAGCCCCGCUUACUUUUGCCAGAGCCCGGUAAUCAAAAGGGGCCAGCGUAUUCGAAUUACUGGCCUAAACCGUCCU